RNAcentral lists this long non-coding RNA (5960 nucleotides) under Homo sapiens (human). Its description in RNAcentral is "non-protein coding lnc-CPN2-4:55". The record is from RNAcentral. Lineage: Eukaryota; Metazoa; Chordata; Mammalia; Primates; Hominidae.
GAUACUCAGGGCACACAGCAUAUAGAGUAUUCUUGUUCCGCAAAAAACAGUACCUCUGCUGCUGCUGUACACUCUGCUGCUUCAGAGUCGCUGUUUAACACUGUGGGUUCACCCUUGAAUUCUUCCUGGAUGAAGCCAAGAACCCUCCUGGGCUAAGCCUCAAUUUUGGGGCUUGCCUGUCCUGCGUCAGCAUGAGUACGGACUUUGGGGUUACAAAUAGGUGCAUUUGCAAAUAUGGAAUCCACGAAUGAUGAAGAUAGACUAUCACUGGGUACCACCGGAAUUCUCUGACCUGAUAACUUCAUAUGCAAAUCCUGGCUGGUCCUUGGAACAGGAGAAAGGGUUGGAAAACAAAGAUCACUUUUCUCUGGCCAAAUGGAAUCACCCAACAAAGUACCUUCCUGAUGGGCCAGCUAUUUCAGAUGAUGAAGGUUUAAGAAGCAGCAUCAUCAGCGAACUGUGUUUUGAAGAUUUGAGGGAAGGGCUGACCUCAGGAUUUUAUACUAGUUGCUGACCUCCAUAACAGCAGACAAAAUUGGAAGCAAGAGUGAUUUUGGAGGAGUCACACUUAGAUGUUUCCCUUACCUAUUUCUGUUCUGGAAAUUUAAAAAUCUUACUUCUCGUGACAGUCCUACAUGAAAAAUUAAAAAUCACAAGGAUUCAUGGAUGGAAAACUGAGACUCAGAGAAUGAUCACAUUCACAUCGUAAUAAAUCAGCAAUAGAGUGAGUGAUUGUUCCUUGGUAAGAAAUCAACUCUAAACUCAGUUGGAAACCUUUGCCAAUAUUACUUAACACAUGACAAUCUGGUGUGACUCAUUUUUCUUGACAUUAUGCAAAUAAAGGAAACAAGACUGAGUGGCCUUCUGUCCGGAGAGCAGGAAAUGAAGGCUGUCUGGGGCCACAUGUUUCCUGGGACAUGUGGUGUCAGAAAUGGGUACUAGAAGAACCAGGCCUUUGUUCAUGUCUUUUAUUUUUUAUUUUUGUUUUUUUUUAGAUGGAGUCUCACUCUGUCGCCCAGGCUGAAGUGCAGUGGCACUGUCUCGGCUCAUUGCGACCUCCGCCUCACCGGUUCAAGCAAUUCUCCUGCCUCAGCCUCCCGAGUAGCUGGGAUUAUAGGCGCCCGCCACUACACCCAGCUAAUUUUUGUAUUUUUAGUAGAGACAUGGUUUCACCAUGUUAGCCAGGCUGGUCUAGAACUCAUGACCUCGUGAUCCACCCGCCUCCGCCUCCCAAAGUGCUGGGAUUACAGGCGUGAGCCACGGUGCCUGGCUGCCAUUGUUCAUUUCUAUUUCAUGAGUGAUCGGCUCUUGUUGGCCAUGGCUGGAGGAGUCAGCUCCCAAAAUCCACACUCUCUAGGAGUGCUGAACCAUAAAUAAUCUAUCAGGACUCCUAGAUUCCACUCUCUAGAGCUGCAACCAGAAGUUCCUUCCUUCCCGGCCCUGCUUCCCACUAAAGGAAACAUUUGACUUUUGGGGAUGAGAUGUUUCAAGCCAGCCAAUCCUUCUCACAGGAAGCAGAACCCCAGCCACCAUGGAGCUUAUCCUUGGGGCGCAGAGAAACACUGACCUAAUGCUGUAAUCAAGUACUGGAUUUUAUUUUUAAAUCUUUUUACCUCACAAGCUGACUUUAUUCUGGCUAGAGGGCUCCUGAACCUCUGUAAACUCCCCAGGAGGUAAUUUCCAGUGCUAAUCUCGCUAACGAGGUGUCAGUUACAGAAAUGGCCCACGCCCUGGUUUCUUCUAAGUGGACAUUACAGUGUUUCUUCAGAGGGGCCUGUGCUGGGACACCUCGGAAAUGGAAGAAUUUAUAGCAAGGAUGUUAUUUCUCACUAAGUGAGCAGAAGAGCUGGAAGAUCUCUUUAGAGAUCAUUAGAAGGAUGGGGAAACUGAGGCUCAGAGAAGGGCAGUGGCUGCCCGAGGCCACAGAGCUGAGUGGCAGCAGGGUUGGGUUAGAGACUGGACCUUGUGGCGGAGCUGGCCUGCUUUGGGCUGUUCCACACACCACUGACUUUCUAGAUUGUUUCAUGUUCAUGGAAUCAUCCUCAAACUCUACUCCCCAAAAUUGUACCAUAGAUUAACUUCGGGCACCCCCCAAGUCAAAACUUCAACAGCUAAGGGACACGGAUCAUGCGGCCUGCUGAACACGCCAUCAAGUGGGGCAAAGUCUUCUUUCUUUGUGAUCAGGGUAUGCACUCUCCCUUGGCCUCUGAAUAAGCUGUACCCAGGGUUCCUCGAUGACUCAGCUGCAGCAGGCUAUCCACCACACAUGUCCGUGGCCACCACGGCGGGAACCGGGCUCACCAUCACUUACCACUAGAGAUGUCAAACCACCCCCCUCCUAACCCAGGCCCCACUGCGGCCUCCCUGCCCUGCUCCAGCCUCGGUCUGUUGUGCAAGAGCCAGAGGGGACUUACGAUCACGGAGCCACACGCCCAGGCCCAACCCAGGCCCAGGAGCUCCACCCUAGGGAAACGCCUAAGUCAGAACAGAGCACUCCUAACCCCCCGGGGCAAGGAGGGGAGGCCAGGCAGCCGGAAGGAAACUCCUGAGCUUUUUACGGAAUGCACAAGACAAAAGGUGAGGGUCUCCACGUAGGGAAAGAACGCAUUAUUAUUUACGGCCUUGGUCUGGAGAGGAGAACAUGCUGCUCUUUGCAGCCCGGCGUGUGAUUCAUUUCCCCCGGGAGCUGCAGGGCCGAGGCAGGGCGUGCGCUCCGGCAGCCUCCAGACAGCCGCGCACUCCCGCCCGCUCGUUUAUUUAUGGUGCUUUAUCAGCGGCUGUGCACCGCGGCGAUAAAGUUUAUGAAAAGAGGCGGCGUCUCCGGCCGGCGGGCUGGGCCCGGCGCUCCUUUCCCACACUGAUUAGGAUCAGCCAGGGCUUUGGAAGCUGCAGUUAAGGAUCUCGGGUGCCCGGAGCCUCGGCUCCCCCUUCCUGCCCCGCCCGCGGGCUGGCCGGCUGCUGGCCCGCGUGGGAGGCGAGGUCAGGGCUGCGGCCGCGGCCCUUCCCCUGGGAGCGGGAGGGAGGAGGGAGGAGGAGGAGAGAAGCCGCCCUGCGGGGGAGGGAGCUCCAAGGCCCCGGGAAGUGGGACAGCCAGAGAAAAAUACCGUCCAAAUAUAAAUGGGCAAGUCCCCACGUUAAGAGAUGAACGAGAAUUUUUUAUUUUUUGAGACAGAGUCUCGCUCUGUUGUCCGGGUUGGAGUGCAGUGGUGAGAUCUUGGCUCACUGCAACCUCCGCCUCCGGGGUUCAAGGGAUUCUCCAGCGUCAGCCUCCCGAGUAGCUGGGAUUACAAGCGCCUGCCACCAGGCCUGGCUAAUUUUUGUAUUUUUAGUAGAGAUGGGGUUUCACCAUGUUGGUCAGGCUGGUCUCGAACUCCUGACCUCAGGUGAUCCACCCAACUCGGCCUCCCAAAGUGCUGAGAUUACAGGCGGAACAGGAAUUUAAUAGGAAUUUUUCUCCUCUGAAGGCGGUGCACCGUCUCCUCUCCCCCAUUUACUUUCCUACAUUCCUUUCUCCUUUCCCGUCAUUUCACCUGCAUUUACUGUGUCUUUGCAUUAAGGCUUGAUUCAUUUUGUCCCUUUUCAUAGCCAUGUUUUGUUCAGUCCUUCAGAAGAUAGAAAUUGAACACCUGACUUGUGGACAGCACCUCUAAACACUGCAGAGAGAGAUUCAGAGAUGAAUAGCCCUGGCCCUUAGGGUUCUUGCGGUCACAAGCACCGUCCAGUAAGAGCAGCCCAUGGUUAUGAGUAACAAGAGCAGACACUACGGCAGGCACUUGGUUUAGGGACAUUGCCUUGUUUCAUCCUCACGGUGACUUCAGGAGGACAGUGCCAUCGUUACGCCGUUUAACAGAUGGUAAAACUGAGGCCCAGAGAGGGGAGUGCCUUGCUUCAGAUGACUCAGCAACGCAGUGGCUGAGCAAGGAUUUGAACUCAGGCAGAAUGGUGGCAGAGCCUGUUUGCCUAACUUCUAAAUUUCCCUAACUCUCUAGAACAGAGGGUAGUAGGAGUGCAGCAGACAGGACAACUAACCCUGCCUGGAAAAGUCAUGGUGGGCUUCCCGGAGGAGGCGUCCUUAGGCUGGGGCUUGAAGACGAGGUAUUUACCAGACAAAUAGUGGAGAAGAAGGCUGUCUUAAACAGAAAAAACUUCUUAUGUGGUCCUGGGUUCUGAGGGCCCAGCUCUUCUCACCCUCCUUCUCCGAGGAGUGGGGGAACGGAAGUGCAGAGCCUUCGUGUUUUACCCUCCUUCUCCGAGGAGUGGGGAACGGAAGUGCAGAGCCUUUAUGUUUUGUGACAGUGGAAUCCCCUUCGCGGGCCACCUCCUCGAUCUGAAAGGCUCUAUCUGCAGCUACUGAAUUCCCUUCAGCUCGUAAGUCUUAAUAGCAAUGUCAUCCCCUUCUGAAAACUUUCCUGGACUGCUCCUUAUCUUGCUGCCGGUGAUUGAAAGCAAUCCUUUCCUCUCUCUUCCCUCACACCUGCCUGUUUGCAUUAAAGUUCUUGAGUUGGACUCCAUCAGUCUUUAUUUUUUAUUUGUUUAAUUUAUUUUUUAGAGACAGGGUCUCACAAUGUCACCCAGGCUGGAGAGCCGUGGCAUGAUAAUGGCUUACUGCAGCCUCAUCCUCCUGGCCUCAAGCAAUCCUCCUGCCUCAGCCUGCCAAGUAACUAGGACUACAGGUGUGUGCCACCAUGCCUGGCUAAUUUUAUUUUAUUUUUUUGAGACAGAGUCUUGCUCUGUAGCCCAGUCUGGAGUGCAAUGGCGUCAUCUCGGCUCACUGCAAGCUCCGCCUCCUGGGUUCAAGCGAUUCUCCUGUCUCAGCCUCCAGAGUAGCUGGGAUUACAGGCGUGUGCCACCAUGCCCAGCUAAUUUUUGUAUUUUUAGUAGAGAGGGGGUUUCACCAUGUUGGCCAGGCUGGUCUCGAACUCCUGACCUCAGGUGAUCUGCCUUCCUCAGCCUCCCAAACUGUUGGGAUUACAGGCGUGAGCCGCUGCACCUGGCCUCUGGCUAAUUUAAAAAAAUUUUUUGGCCAGACACGGUGGCUUCCAUCUUUAAUACCGGCACUUCAGGAGGCCAAGGCAGGAGAUUUGCUUGAGCCCAGUAGUUUGAGACCAGUCUGGGCAACAUAAGAAGACCCCCAUCUCUACAAAAAAAAAAAUAAAUAAAAAAAAAAAAAAUAAGCCAGGCAUGGUGGCGCUCGUCUGUGGUCCCAGCUAAUACGGAGGUUAAGGUGCAAGGAUUGCAUGAGCCUGGGAGGUCAAGGCUGCAGUGAACUCUGAUCACAUUCCAGCCUGUGACUGUACUCCAGCCUGAGUGACAGAGCAAGACCCUGUCUCAAAAUAAAUAAAUACAUACAUACAUAAAUAAAUAAGUUUAAUUUAAAAAUAAAUUUAUUUCUGUAGAGAUGGGUCUCACUCUUUUGCCCAGGCUGGUCUUGAACUCCUGGCCUCAAGUGAUUCUCCCAAGUUGACCCCCCAAAGUGCUGGAAUUAUAGGCAUAAGCCACUGCACCCAGCCCAUUAGUGUUUAUUACUAGACUGUGAGUUCCUGGAGAGCACUGGUAUACUCAUUUGCUUCUUACUUGCUUCUGCCCAGGCUGGUUUAGUAUCCUACUCAUAGAAGGUUCUUAGUAACCGCAUUUGGUGAAUAAAUGGAGGAGAGUGGGAAGGCUGUGAUCGAAUAGGUAUCUCUUGUCUCCUCUUUACCCCUUGAUAAAUUUCACAAUCAAGCAAGCUAAAAAUGGAGAUGUGUGUCUCCACCAGACAAGGUCUGGACCACUCUCUGCCAAGACAGCACGAAGAGCAGGACACUGCCAGCAACCAGCACGCUUGCUUUCCAUUAAGCGGAUCCUUUGUGCUGAAACAGAUUUGCAGUCCUGCCAAACCAGACGAUGCUGCUGGCAGGAAGAUGCACAUGGUCUGAUGUUAAUGCAAGAGUGAGAAAACCUCUGUGGCACAGUCAUGGGAG